ACCGGGCUUGUUGGUGGACAGCGUCCUGCUCAGAGAGACCAGCGACCUGACCUUCCCUCUGGAAGAUGCUGCCAUCCUGACUGCCACUGAUGCCAACAUGAGCUGUUCCUCAUCCAACGACGUGUCUGCGGAUGAAAUAAGACGCACAGCCCGCCCGGACAAACUGUAAUCACCGAAAGAGUCAACUUGCUUGAACUCAACUCUGACAUCUGCUCGGCAUGACACCUCACAGGGAGACGCCAUGUUGUUUAUACGGAGUUUAUUCUCGUCUUCUUCCGGUUGACGUUCAGGCUCUUUCACGCUGCAGCGCCACCUCAGGUCAAAGAAGAGAAAAGAAUGAGAGCUAACUUCACUCAGAGAUAUAGAAAGAAAGAGAAAGAAACCAGGCUGUAUUUAAAGACGUCUUGAAAACAAGUUUUAACAAAGUCCUGGAGAAGUGCCCAAUGCUGGAGGACCUCCUGCUUUACCCCUGGCUCAGAUAAACUCCUCUCUGACACAAACACACACGCAUACUGAAUUCACAUCUUGCCAUACAAAUGUGAUACAGUAACCAACUUUCUUCUUUCAGAAAAAAAGAAAAUUGGGAGAUUCAAAAUUUCCUCACAGUAAUGUUUGCAUCAGUCUAUCAGAUGAAUCCCCUCCAAGUCCAAUAUUUACAUCAGUUACAGUGAUAAUGCUUGGUGUCUACUUUCAGCCACCGCAGUAGAAUGCCAGGAAUGAAUCUCAUUGAAAUUGUAGUUGCAUUUGCUAUUUAAUUUAAUUGUCAUGGAUGAUACACAGACAACCCAA
This is a long non-coding RNA of Oreochromis niloticus (Nile tilapia), 789 nucleotides long. RefSeq lists it as uncharacterized. The record is from RefSeq and is a predicted model, not a curated record. Lineage: Eukaryota; Metazoa; Chordata; Actinopteri; Cichliformes; Cichlidae. The transcript has 3 exons.